GUGGGGGUGUGAUAGUGGGCGGGCGUUGCGUGUGCGGUGUUGUGGGGCUCAUCUGGCCAUCUUCUGCCGGGGGUGGGGAUUGCGUGCUGCUUGGUUGGUGAAUGGCCUGGGAUGGUCGACCGAAGAGCGUGAGAGUCGUGUAGGCGGCUGGUGGUGCGUGGUUUGGGGUGGGUGCCCGAGUAGCGCGGGGCUCGUGGAAUCUCGUGUGAAUCUGCCAGGACCACCUGGUAAGCCUAAAUACUACUUGGUGACCGAUAGUGCAUAGUACCGUGAGGGAAUGGUGAAAAGUACCCCGGGAGGGGAGUGAAAUAGUGCCUGAAACCGGACGCUGUCAAGCCGUCGGAGCCUUGAGGGGUGACGGCGUGCCUUUUGAAGAAUGAGCCUGCGAGUCAGUGAUGCGUGGCGUGCUUAACCCGUGUGGGGGAUGCGUAGCGAAAGCGAGUCUGAAAUAUGGCGUUUGUCGCGUGUUCUGGACCCGAAGCGGGGUGAUCUACCCAUGGCCAGGUUGAAGCGAUGGUAAGACGUCGUGGAGGACCGCACCCACCAGGGUUGAAAACCUGGGGGAUGAGCUGUGGGUAGGGGUGAAAGGCCAAUCAAACUCCGUGAUAGCUGGUUCUCCCCGAAAUGCAUUUAGGUGCAGCGUUGUGUGUUG
This 652-nucleotide ribosomal RNA is filed under the name Tsukamurella conjunctivitidis. RNAcentral describes it as "Tsukamurella sp. HKU72 partial 23S ribosomal RNA". It matches the Rfam family "Bacterial large subunit ribosomal RNA", at positions 262 to 891 of the family's 2925-position model. The record is from RNAcentral. Lineage: Bacteria; Bacillati; Actinomycetota; Actinomycetes; Mycobacteriales; Tsukamurellaceae.